UGAGAGGCUGAAGGAGCAGAAUAACAACACAGAGACUCUAAAGAAGAGACUUGAGGACCAGCUGAAGAUGGUAGCAGAGACAACGGAGAAGCAGUGUGUGGAUAAUGUCCAGCUGAGACAGGAGAAGACGGCACUGCAGAAAGACCUGCUGACAACACAGGUGUCGUUGAAGACCGUUCAGAAGGUAGCGGAGGAAGUGCAGCAGUUGAAGGAGAGGACAACG
This is a long non-coding RNA of Oncorhynchus keta (chum salmon), 223 nucleotides long. RefSeq lists it as uncharacterized. The record is from RefSeq and is a predicted model, not a curated record. NCBI's taxonomy places the organism in Eukaryota, Metazoa, Chordata, Actinopteri, Salmoniformes, Salmonidae. The transcript has 4 exons.